RNAcentral lists this ribosomal RNA (520 nucleotides) under uncultured bacterium. Its description in RNAcentral is "partial 16S ribosomal RNA". It matches the Rfam family "Bacterial small subunit ribosomal RNA", at positions 28 to 523 of the family's 1533-position model. The record is from RNAcentral.
GACGAACGCUGGCGGCGUGCUUAACACAUGCAAGUCGAACGGAGAAUUUUGCUACGGUAGAAUUCUUAGUGGCGAACGGGUGAGUAACGCGUAGACAACCUACCUCUCAGAUGGGGACAACAUCGCGAAAGCGGUGCUAAUACCGAAUGAUGUAACCUUUCUGCAUGGAAGAGUUACCAAAGGCGGCCUCUAUUUAUAAGCUGUCACUGAGAGAUGGGUCUGCGUCUGAUUAGCUAGUUGGCGGGGUAAUGGCCCACCAAGGCGACGAUCAGUAGCCGGUCCGAGAGGAUGAACGGCCACAUUGGGACUGAGACACGGCCCAAACUCCUACGGGAGGCAGCAGUGGGGAAUCUUCCGCAAUGGACGAAAGUCUGACGGAGCAACGCCGCGUGAGUGAAGAAGGUUUUCGGAUCGUAAAGCUCUGUUGUUUGAGACGAACGUGCAAUUUUUGAAUAAGGAAUUGUAAUGACGGUAUUAAACGAGAAAGCCACGGCUAACUACGUGCCAGCAGCCGCGGUAA